AUUGAACGCUGGCGGCAUGCCUUACACAUGCAAGUCGAACGGUAACAGGUCUUCGGAUGCUGACGAGUGGCGAACGGGUGAGUAAUACAUCGGAACGUGCCCAGACGUGGGGGAUAACGAGGCGAAAGCUUUGCUAAUACCGCAUACGAUCUAAGGAUGAAAGCAGGGGACCGCAAGGCCUUGUGCGUUUGGAGCGGCCGAUGGCAGAUUAGGUAGUUGGUGGGAUAAAAGCUUACCAAGCCGACGAUCUGUAGCUGGUCUGAGAGGACGACCAGCCACACUGGGACUGAGACACGGCCCAGACUCCUACGGGAGGCAGCAGUGGGGAAUUUUGGACAAUGGGCGAAAGCCUGAUCCAGCAAUGCCGCGUGCAGGAUGAAGGCCUUCGGGUUGUUAACUGCUUUUGUACGGAACGAAAAGGCUCUGGCUAAUACCUGGGGCACAUGACGGUACCGUAAGAAUAAGCACCGGCUAACUACGUG
RNAcentral lists this ribosomal RNA (482 nucleotides) under uncultured bacterium. RNAcentral's name for it is "partial 16S ribosomal RNA". It matches the Rfam family "Bacterial small subunit ribosomal RNA", at positions 30 to 507 of the family's 1533-position model. The record is from RNAcentral.